This 509-nucleotide ribosomal RNA is filed under the name uncultured bacterium. RNAcentral's name for it is "partial 16S ribosomal RNA". It matches the Rfam family "Bacterial small subunit ribosomal RNA", at positions 28 to 507 of the family's 1533-position model. The record is from RNAcentral.
GACGAACGCUGGCGGCGUGCUUAACACAUGCAAGUCGAACGAAGAGCGAUGGAAGCUUGCUUCUAUCAAUCUUAGUGGCGAACGGGUGAGUAACGCGUAAUCACCUGCCCUUCAGAGGGGGACAACAGUUGGAAACGACUGCUAAUACCGCAUACGAUCUAAUCUCGGCAUCGAGGAUAGAUGAAAGGUGGCCUCUACAUGUAAGCUAUCACUGAAGGAGGGGAUUGCGUCUGAUUAGCUAGUUGGAGGGGUAACGGCCCACCAAGGCGAUGAUCAGUAGCCGGUCUGAGAGGAUGAACGGCCACAUUGGGACUGAGACACGGCCCAGACUCCUACGGGAGGCAGCAGUGGGGAAUCUUCCGCAAUGGACGAAAGUCUGACGGAGCAACGCCGCGUGAGUGAUGACGGCCUUCGGGUUGUAAAGCUCUGUUAAUCGGGACGAAAGGCCUUCUUGCGAAUAGUGAGAAGGAUUGACGGUACCGGAAUAGAAAGCCACGGCUAACUACGUG